This 496-nucleotide ribosomal RNA is filed under the name uncultured bacterium. Its description in RNAcentral is "partial 16S ribosomal RNA". It matches the Rfam family "Bacterial small subunit ribosomal RNA", at positions 30 to 523 of the family's 1533-position model. The record is from RNAcentral.
AUUGAACGCUGGCGGCAUGCCUUACACAUGCAAGUCGAACGGUAGAGGUAGCAAUACCUUGAGAGUGGCGAACGGGUGAGUAAUACAUCGGAACAUGCCCAACUGUGGGGGAUAGCGUAGCGAAAGUUACGCUAAUACCGCAUACGAUCUACGGAUGAAAGCGGGGGACCGUAAGGCCUCGCGCAGUUGGAGUGGCUGAUGCCAGAUUAGCUAGUUGGUGGGGUAAAAGCCUACCAAGGCAACGAUCUGUAGCUGGUCUGAGAGGACGACCAGCCACACUGGAACUGAGACACGGCCCAGACUCCUACGGGAGGCAGCAGUGGGGAAUUUUGGACAAUGGACGAAAGUCUGAUCCAGCAAUGCCGCGUGCAGGACGAAGGCCUUCGGGUUGUAAACUGCUUUUGUACGGAGCGAAAAAGUCUUCUUUAAUACAGAGGGCUCAUGACGGUACCGUAAGAAUAAGCACCGGCUAACUACGUGCCAGCCGCCGCCGUAA